This 2155-nucleotide long non-coding RNA is filed under the name Mus musculus (house mouse). RNAcentral describes it as "predicted gene, 41492". Lineage: Eukaryota; Metazoa; Chordata; Mammalia; Rodentia; Muridae. The record is from RNAcentral.
GGCAGGAGCUAUUGUAGAGGCCAUGGAGGCAUGUUACUUACUAAGAGCUGUAGUCUACACAGGCAUUACUACAUUACUACACUGGAGGGACAAUUGUAAAGAUUGUAACAAAUGUGCCUACUGAGCAACUCUUCCUAGGAAGAUGGAGAUAAAUACCUACUCAUUCUAGAUACCAGUAACAGAUCAAAGAAGAGACUGUUCCACCCAAGUCUAUCUUGGUGAGUCAGUGGUUUUGUUUUUUUGUGUUUUGGGUUUUUGCUUUGUUUUGUUUUGUUUUUUGUUUUGGACUACCCAAGGAAGCAUGGAUGAGGUAUUACUUAAAGGAGAAUGGUUGACUCAAAGGUAGCUCCAUCGCUGAAAAGCCUGCACAAUGGAUGACAACUUAAAGAAAUGGAUCCCUCAAGUUCCCUGCACAGGUUGUAGGUAGCUGCCAGAGAUAAAUCUGGGCAGAAUCUUUGUAAAUCUUGUAAGUUUCAGGAGCUUCCUUAGCCUUGCAAGUUUCCUGUAUUUCCUGAGUCUCAUGAGCAUCCCUCUUCUUUCUAAGGAGGAAUAUUUGGAUUCAGAAGAAAUAAUUUGAUUAUACAUUGUUGUCACCUUGAGAAUCUACAGAAAACUGAAGAUUUCAAGAGUCCACCCCUAGGGAGCUCUUAGCUAGUCCUAGAAGGGCACUUAAAUUUGCUAAGUGCAUUUGAAAAGUAUUUCCUUGUCAGUCUGUUUGACAAGCCUGUGUUGACCACUGACCUGCUAAGCAUUAAGUAUCAGUACAGAAUAAACGGAGAGAAAAGCCUCAGUUGAGAAAUUGUCUUUCUUGGCCUGGCCUGUGGUCAUGUUUGCAAGGGAUCAUCUUGAUUGUUAAUUCACAUUGGAGGGCCCAGCCCACUGUAGGCAGCACUGUUCUCUGGGCAGGUGGUCCUAGGCUAUAUAAGGAAGCUAGCUGAACAUGAGUCUGAGUUAGGCAGUGUGAGAACCAACAAACAGCAUUCCUCUAUGGUAUCUCCUUCAAAUUCCUCCUUGACUUUCCCUCAAUGAUGGGAUGUGACCCAACAGCAUAAGCCAGCUAACUGCUUCCUCCCCUGAGUUGCUCUGAUCAGAGUGUUUUAUCACAGUAUCAGAAUGAAACUAGAAUAAGCCCCGAGUCAAGCCACAUGCUAUGUAAGUCCCCAGCCUUGAGGGCUAGUCAUUGCAUCAGUGCUCUGGUUGGGCACUGAAGACUAGCAUUGAUCCAACUCCUGCCCCAUAUCUGAAGGCAUCAUGAAACUUAUACAGAAACUCUUGACAGAAGAGUGUGUGAUGAUUAACCUUAAUUAUCAAUGGGAAUACACCUCUGGGUGUAUCUACACCUGGGUGUUUCCAGGCUUAAGUGAGGGAGAGAAGACCCAACCUUGAUGUGAGUGGCGUGGACCAAGGCCAUGGACUGAAUGAAACAGAGAAAGCAAGCUGGGCUCCAGUGCUCACCUCUCUGCUUCCUGCCUGUGGAUGCAACGAGCCAGCUGUGCUUCUCUCUGCUGCCAUGACUCUCCACACCAUGAUGGACAGCUCCCUCACUGUAUCCAGAUAAGUCUUUCUCUCCUGAAGUUGCUUCCUGUCGGUUAUCUGUUCGCAUCAACAGAAAAGUAAGGAAUUCAGACCGUUGGGAGCCCCUCCUGGCUCCACUCUCAGGAGUUAAAAGUUAAACACGGGGCUUUGGCAACAGAGAAAUCAGACCUCGGCCCAAGAUGAGCAACUCCCGAGCUGUGCGCCACGUUGGGAGACAAGGCAGAGCCAUCAUCAUGUCCAUGAAAUUACAGCGAAGAAGUAAAACAAGGUACUUCGAGUCACAGAGCAGCAGUCCCUCAGCUCCAUUUAGAGAAGCAGUGCAUGGGCAGAGCCGUGCUUCCAAGCGAUGCGCUAAGAUUCCCCAGACACACACCCAGAGUGGGUGGUCCCCUGCCUUCUCCCAGCUUCCGCCCCGCGCAGCCCUAGAACCUGGAGCAAAGUCCUCACUGCAAGAUAUGGGAUAUGAACUAAACAUUGGUCUUUUGGGCAUCUCAUCUGCGACCUAACAGACUGGAUAUGCACAACCUGUUUCCUGGAUCUCCUGCAGGCCUUGGGACUCAACAGCAUCCAAAAACCACACAAGCCAAUUCCUUAUAAUAAAACCAUCUUUCUCCAUAAA